This 484-nucleotide ribosomal RNA is filed under the name uncultured bacterium. RNAcentral describes it as "partial 16S ribosomal RNA". It matches the Rfam family "Bacterial small subunit ribosomal RNA", at positions 30 to 507 of the family's 1533-position model. The record is from RNAcentral.
AUUGAACGCUGGCGGCAGGCCUAACACAUGCAAGUCGAGCGGGUGAAGGGAGCUUGCUCCUGGAUUCAGCGGCGGACGGGUGAGUAAUGCCUAGGAAUCUGCCUUGUAGUUGGGGAUAACGUCCGUAAACGGGCGCUAAUACCGCAUACGUCCUGAUGUAGAAAGUGGGGGAUCUUCGGACCUCACGCUAUCAGAUGAGCCUAGGUCGGAUUAGCUAGUUGGUGGGGUAAAGGCCUACCAAGGCGACGAUCCGUAACUGGUCUGAGAGGAUGAUCAGUCACACUGGAACUGAGACACGGUCCAGACUCCUACGGGAGGCAGCAGUGGGGAAUAUUGGACAAUGGGCGAAAGCCUGAUCCAGCCAUGCCGCGUGUGUGAAGAAGGUCUUCGGAUUGUAAAGCACUUUAAGUUGGGAGGAAGGGAAGUAAGUUAAUACCUUGCUGUUUUGACGGUACCAACAGAAUAAGCACCGGCUAACUUCGUG